UCUCUCUCUCUCUCUCUCUCUCUCUCUCUGUAUUUCGAGGUUGUCGUUCAGCCCUGACCUCACUCACCUUUCAAAUAAAGAGUCAGAGAAUCAAUCUACAGUCUGUUUCUUCUGCACUAGAUUAUUUGGGAGAUUGAGUUUUUGUAGCGUUAUGAUUAUGGAUUGAUGAUGUUACAGCUCGGCCUCUCUGUUGCUUUGUUCCAAGCCCUACAUAGAGAGCACGCUUCUAAGGGAACGUCCUGAAUGAAGUGAAAAUUAACUUCCUAAGUGGAUGAUUUGGACCUAGCACACAAAUAAUGGCUCCUGGAUCUGAAGCGCCUCCCGAAGCAGACAGACGGAUGAAAGUGAGUUCAAAAUCAGCUCAAAACCCGCCGCUCGUCUCUCUCUCACCUGUGGCCCACCAGACGUGUGAGCGAGUGUGAGCACAGGUUGAGGCCAGACAGCACCAGGUACCGUGUGUGUGUGUGUGUGUGUGUGUGUGUGUGUGUGCAGACGGGUCCCACAGGGCGAGGCUCUACAGCUGUAGACAGACACUGAAUUCGCUGCAUCUGCUGUCCUGACAUCUGCAGACGGGGCCGAAGACACAUGCCUCUGUGUGUAUCUGUCAGUGUGUGAAUGAACAGUCAUCAGAGGCCUGACUGUAGUUUAUAAAGAACAGCAACGCAAAGGAAUGUUAAUUAAUGGUGUUAUGGUAUGAUGUAAACAAUAUAUUGUUAAUAUUAUUAUAUAUUAUGUAUUAUUAUAUAUAUAAUGCAUAUAGUAUGUGUGAGUGAGAGAGAGUGAGUGUAUGUUAGUGUGUGUGUGUGUGAGAGAGAGAGAGAGAGAGAGAGAGAGAGAGUGAGUGUGUGUGUGUGUGUGUGUGUGUGUGUGUUUGUGGUUGGAGUUCUGAUAAUUAGGAUCCAUCUGAUAAAGCUCUCAAUCGUCUCUUAAAAGCGUCUGUAUCUGAGCAGAAAAGAAGAGCUCAACUGGUUUCAUUACAAGACACACAAUACACUAAUAACAGUUACAAGAAACCAAAUCCAGCCGCUAAUUAGAGCGAGAUGAUUGAUACAUGAGGACAAGGUUGUUUUUUGAUCCUCUGGCAAACAUGAGUCUGUAAUUGUCGGAGGAGGAGUCUGCGAUGACGUCGACUGUAAUUACUCCCAAA
This is a long non-coding RNA of Cyprinus carpio (common carp), 1147 nucleotides long. Lineage: Eukaryota; Metazoa; Chordata; Actinopteri; Cypriniformes; Cyprinidae. The record is from Ensembl.